GAAAUGCGAUAAGUAAUGUGAAUUGCAGAAUUCAGUGAAUCAUCGAAUCUUUGAACGCACAUUGCGCCCGCCAGUAUUCUGGCGGGCAUGCCAGUUCGAGCGUCAUUACAACCCUCAGGCCCCCGGGCCUGGCGUUGGGGAUCGGCGGAAGCCCCCUGCGGGCACAACGCCGUCCCCCAAAUACAGUGGCGGUCCCGCCGCAGCUUCCAUUGCGUAGUAGCUAACACCUCGCAACUGGAGAGCGGCGCGGCCACGCCGUAAAACACCCAACUUCUGAAUGUUGACCUCGAAUCAGGUAGGAAUACCCGCUGAACUUAAGC
RNAcentral lists this unclassified non-coding RNA (320 nucleotides) under plant metagenome. RNAcentral's name for it is "partial contains 5.8S ribosomal RNA, internal transcribed spacer 2, and large subunit ribosomal RNA". The stretch from base 1 to 105 matches the Rfam family "5.8S ribosomal RNA", at positions 50 to 154 of the family's 154-position model. The record is from RNAcentral.